GCUAUCUUUGGGGAUUGGGCUAUUGACUGGAAAGGGACAUGAAAAAAUCUUCAGGGUAGAUUCCUGGUUGCCUGGGAACCACCAGAGCCUGGGAAGAACCUGAAGAGCUGGAUGGAUUCAGUCCAAGGAGAGAAAGGGUAUCCACAGAACCCCAUGUUAUGGCUCUGCUCCUGCAAGAGGUCUUCAGAGCAACUCAUGGACAACUUCAUAACACUGACAACUUCACAACAGUCCUAUUACUAUAGCUAGCCUGAAUGAAUGGCCAUGUAAGAGUCCCGAACAACAGACUGCUUCCAGUAGAACUGUUCUCCAGUGGCUUGAAACCAGCCAUAGCCACCAGAAUCUGCACUGCUUUCCUCUAUCCAUCAUCACCAUCCCAACCUUGGCCGAGCAGUCUUGCUCCAUAUAACAGGACAUCUGACCAAAUUCACAUCCUUCAAACUUUGGAACCAAUGACCACAGCCAAGAAGACACAACAUUAUGACCACCUGAUCCUGAGUGGUUUGGCCAAUGCUUUGACCAGAAACAUGGGAUAUGGUACCAAAGAAAGUAGGGAAAGUAACCAUACCUAUCUUUACCACUUUCCCUGCAUAUUCAUUCUAUAAGUAUAUUCAGUACCUACUAUGGACCAGGCACUGUACUGGGCUCUGAGCUUGCAACGGUGAGCAAACUCAAUAUAGUCCCCACCCCCACUGAGCUUACAGUUGAGACAUUUUAGCUGACUUUAGAAACAAGCUAGCUAACAUCUCUGAACUUCACUUAUCACUGUAAAAUGACAAUAAUAGUAUUUAUCUUUCAUUGUCACUGCAGGGAAAAUUAGAUGUGGCUUCCAACGUUCAGCAUUACUAGGUCAAGCUGUGUGCUAUGGCCAGGGGUGGCAGUCC
This 884-nucleotide long non-coding RNA is filed under the name Mustela putorius furo (domestic ferret). Its description in RNAcentral is "lncRNA (ENSMPUG00000026169.1)". The record is from RNAcentral. Lineage: Eukaryota; Metazoa; Chordata; Mammalia; Carnivora; Mustelidae.